Molecule: non-coding RNA, 28 nt
Filed under: Mus musculus (house mouse)
Lineage: Eukaryota; Metazoa; Chordata; Mammalia; Rodentia; Muridae
Source: RNAcentral
UGGUUACUUACCUGUAGGCGCUUGGAGC